GUGUCAGCCGCCGCGGUAAUACGGAGGGGGCUAGCGUUGUUCGGAAUUACUGGGCGUAAAGGGCGUGUAGGCGGCCUGCCAAGUCAGAUGUGAAAGCCCCGGGCUUAACCUGGGAACUGCAUUUGAGACUGGCCGGCUAGAGGUUGGAAGAGGAGAGUGGAAUUCCCAGUGUAGAGGUGAAAUUCGUAGAUAUUGGGAAGAACACCAGUGGCGAAGGCGGCUCUCUGGUCCACACCUGACGCUGAGGCGCGAAAGCGUGGGGAGCAAACAGGAUUAGAAACCCUUGUAGUCC
This 292-nucleotide ribosomal RNA is filed under the name uncultured bacterium. RNAcentral's name for it is "partial 16S ribosomal RNA". It matches the Rfam family "Bacterial small subunit ribosomal RNA", at positions 505 to 796 of the family's 1533-position model. The record is from RNAcentral.